This 497-nucleotide ribosomal RNA is filed under the name uncultured bacterium. RNAcentral's name for it is "partial 16S ribosomal RNA". It matches the Rfam family "Bacterial small subunit ribosomal RNA", at positions 28 to 507 of the family's 1533-position model. The record is from RNAcentral.
GAUGAACGCUGGCGGCGUGCCUAAUACAUGCAAGUCGAGCGAACGGACGAUAAGCUUGCUUCUCUGAUGUUAGCGGCGGACGUGUGAGUAACACGUGGAUAACCUACCUAUAAGACUGGGAUAACUUCGGGAAACCGUAGCUAAUACCGGAUAAUAUUUUGAACCGCAUGGUUCAAAAGUGAAAGACGGUCUUGCUGUCACUUAUAGAUGGAUCCGCGCUGCAUUAGCUAGUUGGUAAGGUAACGGCUUACCAAGGCAACGAUGCAUAGCCGACCUGAGAGGGUGAUCGGACACACUGGAACUGAGACACGGUCCAGACUCCUAAGGGAGGCAGCAGUAGGGAAUCUUACGCAAUGGGCGAAAGCAUGACGGAGCAACGCCGCGUGAGAGAUGAAGGUCUUCGGAUCGUAAAACUCUGUUAUUAGGGAAGAACAUAUGUGUAAGUAAAUGUGCACAUCUUGACGGUACCUAAUCAGAAAGCAACGGCUAACUACGUG